UGCUUUCUUCAUGCCAAAAAAACAUCACAUUUGAAAGUGAAAUUGCUAAAAAAUAAAUCUUGGUAGUAGCAGAAUCUAGCAACAAACUGAGAUAGGUGGCGAACCUCAUGCUGAUACCUUUUAAGGGAUUACAAUUGAUGUGGGGGAAAAUAUCAAUGGUGUAGUAUCUCGUCGAACCAUCACGCCUUCAUAUCACCGGCACUAUUGAGCUCACCCGAGGUGUGUCAUCAUAAGGAUCUCCAAUUGGUUCGGGGUAUGUUGCUUUCUCCAUCUCGCCUUUGGGCGAAGUAACUUAAGCCUUGUCAGAAUGUCUCAAGGAUUCAACCUCUACUAGUCAUAUAUAUACAUGGAAACUACCAAUUGCGAGUUUCUCUCUUACGAUUGCGGGAUAUUCUCCGGAUGGCUCCCUCUCCCAUUAAAUCUCCUAUGUCUUCGGGAUAUACUUUCAUACUUAGCUUUUCGAAGAUCUCGGCGUGAUCUUCUCACACGGCUCUCCAUUAUUCAUCUAUAUAAAUGCCGCUCCCCUGUUAUUAAAAGGUAUGCUCAGUAUUCACACGCCGGAUACAAUUUUGUGCCAUUUGAAUUAUCUUCUUGUCGCCUUGAUCUGAUUCGUACGCCGGAAGGGUUUUGAGCGGUCUAGCCCCAGCCGUUUACUUUUGUUCAUCUGCACAGGUCGCCCAAGUAUUUGUAGAGAAGCAGUUCGACUGUUGAUUAUCCGUCCCAGAUUUUCACCACCACAACCAUCGUAUAUGUAAAAUCAUGCCAACCAUAUUAGGUUGAACUAUAAUCCGAAGGUACCAAAAUCUA
RNAcentral lists this long non-coding RNA (807 nucleotides) under Actinidia chinensis (golden kiwifruit). Its description in RNAcentral is "long non-coding RNA (ACHI_LNC005051)". Lineage: Eukaryota; Viridiplantae; Streptophyta; Magnoliopsida; Ericales; Actinidiaceae. The record is from RNAcentral.